This 1513-nucleotide long non-coding RNA is filed under the name Marmota monax (woodchuck). The record is from RNAcentral. Lineage: Eukaryota; Metazoa; Chordata; Mammalia; Rodentia; Sciuridae.
CUCAACAGAAUGCACACAAGGGUAUCAAAAGACAUGUAUAAACUGUCGAUGCAGGAUUACCUGUAAUAGCACCAAACUGAAGGCAACCUCAAUGCCUAUCAACAUUAGAAUGGAUAAGUAAAUUGUGAUAUAUUUAUGCAAUGGAAUAUCAUAGAGCAAUUCAAUAAGCAAAAUUUUACAAUGUGGAUUAAUCUCAGAUAUAAGGUUGAGAAAGGAGCCAGAUCAAAAACAGAAUCCAGGGGCUGAGGUUGUGGCUCAGUGACAGAGCACUUGCCUUGCACAUGUAAGGCACUGGGUUCGAUCCUCAGCACCAUAUAAAAAUAAGUAAACAAAGAUAUUGUGUCCAUUUAUAACUAAACAACCCCCAGAAUCCAUAUAUAUAAAUUUUAAACAAGACAAAAUGAUUGAUUUGUGGUGAUGGAAAUCAGAAUAUGGGUAGAAGACCAAGAUGGACAUGAGAGAGGCUUUUGGGAUGCUGAUAAUACUCCAAGUUUUGAUCUGGGUGUUGAAACACAGGUGUGUUCACUUUUAUUAUAAACUUUGUACAAUUAAGAUUUAUAUUUAUUGUAUUGAUAUGUUAUACUUUAACAAAAUUUAUAAGACAUUGGAAGAAUGCAUUUUACUAAGUGAAUUUUAAUGUUCCCUUUAGCUCUAACACACUAUGAUUUUGAGAAAAUUCUUUGAAAAUAAGAAAAACACCUUGUAUUUGUAGAAGGUUUUAUUAUCAGUGGUAGCUUACCAUGAAUUUGUAGUUAUUUCUUAAAUUAUGGCAGAUAAAUUAUUUAAAUUUCUAUAUAUUUAUUUUUCAUUUGAAAAUUUAACUGCCUCCCUCCCCUUCUGACUCUCAUUCAUUUCCUACUUCCUUUAAACUUUUUCUAUCAAGAAACUAGAUGUGCCACCAGAGACAUAUACCAUGGAGAGUCAUCCAUUACUGCCAUUUUGAACUGGCAGUAAACAAUGGCAAAGCCUCUGGGAUGCAAGUCAUAAGGUUUAAGGAGAAUGUUUUAUGUUUUCAUGAAGUCAUUUUUGGUUUUGGAUUCCACAGAUUAGGUUUUUACUUAAAGGCAUAACACAGCAGUGGAUAUAAUGAUUUCUCCAAUCACUUGACUUCUGUUGGGCAUCCAUAAUUUUAAUAUCAGGAAAAUAAUGCUAUAGAAGAAUAAAAUAAUACAUUCAACAUUCACUUCCAAAUGUAAUCAUUCAAGUGAUAUCAUCUUUAUCAUUGCCAUCACUUUAUUUAGGCUUAUCAGUAAAACUGAGUUAAUGAAUCCACCAGUGGGCACAGUUGAUAAAGUAGUUGACUUACUCUGAGAGAUUAGAAUAUGGCUUUAUGGCCACCAUUGAGCUUGUUUAGAACACACUAUGUGUUUUUCUUUCUUGGAGCCUUUUUCUUUCUUUCAGAUAUUCAUUAAGAACUCAACUUUCCUGGUAUCUAAAUGAAAGUGUCCUUUGAAAGUAUAUUGCCUUUCUAAUUCUUGGCCUGGGGAAAAAUGUCAGAAAAUUCUUUAAACCU